This 486-nucleotide ribosomal RNA is filed under the name Ceroplastes rusci. RNAcentral's name for it is "SSU rRNA". It matches the Rfam family "Eukaryotic small subunit ribosomal RNA", at positions 51 to 514 of the family's 1831-position model. Lineage: Eukaryota; Metazoa; Arthropoda; Insecta; Hemiptera; Coccidae. The record is from RNAcentral.
AUGCAUGUCUCAGUGCAUGCCAAAUUAAGGUGAAACCGCGAAUGGCUCAUUAAAUCAGUUAUGGUUCCUUAGAUCGUACCCACAUUUACUUGGAUAACUGUGGUAAUUCUAGAGCUAAUACAUGCAAACCAGAGUUCCGACCAGAGAUGGAAGGAACGCUUUUAUUAGAUCAAAACCAAUCGGUGGCGGGCUUGCUCGUCCACCGUUUACUUUGGUGACUCUGAAUAACUUUGUGCUGAUCGCAUGGUCUCGUACCGGCGACGCAUCUUUCAAAUGUCUGCCUUAUCAACUGUCGAUGGUAGGUUCUGCGCCUACCAUGGUUGUAACGGGUAACGGGGAAUCAGGGUUCGAUUCCGGAGAGGGAGCCUGAGAAACGGCUACCACAUCCAAGGAAGGCAGCAGGCGCGCAAAUUACCCACUCCCGGCACGGGGAGGUAGUGACGAAAAAUAACGAUACGGGACUCAUCCGAGGCCCCGUAAUCGGAA